CAUCCGAUGGCUGAAAGCAAGCAAUGGUCUCUUAAACCAAUCUAUAGUAGAGUAGCACCUGCUUCUGAUG
This 70-nucleotide transfer RNA is filed under the name Sambus femoralis. Its description in RNAcentral is "tRNA-Lys". Lineage: Eukaryota; Metazoa; Arthropoda; Insecta; Coleoptera; Buprestidae. The record is from RNAcentral.